UACAGAGACUGCAAGCGUUAUUCGGAUUCACUGGGCGUAAAGGGUGCGCAGGCGGCCAAGUGUGUCAGGUGUGAAAUCCCGGAGCUUAACUCCGGAACUGCGCCUGAAACUACUUGGCUAGAGCAUUGGAGAGGGAAGUGGAAUUCACGGUGUAGCAGUGAAAUGCGUAGAUAUCGUGAGGAACACCAGAGGCGAAGGCGACUUCCUGGACAAUUGCUGACGCUCAGGCACGAAAGUGUGGGGAUCAAACAGG
RNAcentral lists this ribosomal RNA (253 nucleotides) under uncultured bacterium. RNAcentral describes it as "partial 16S ribosomal RNA". It matches the Rfam family "Bacterial small subunit ribosomal RNA", at positions 524 to 776 of the family's 1533-position model. The record is from RNAcentral.